UUUCCGUAGGUGAACCUGCGGAAGGAUCAUUACCGAGUGAUGGUCUCUCAGGCCUGGCCUCCCAUACUGUUUUUUUUUGAGCUUGUACCUUUGCCUGGUCCGCCUCGAUGAGAGUCCGCCGGUAGAUCACCGCUUCGGUCGCGUUCCCCCCAGUAGCCCCCUUAAAUUCUUAAUAUACCUGUCGCCGGAGUCUAGGUAUUAUAAAAAAAACUGUCAACAACAGAUCUCUUGGUUCUAGCAUCGAAGAAGAACCCAGCAGACCGGAAGAGCACACG
This 275-nucleotide unclassified non-coding RNA is filed under the name plant metagenome. RNAcentral describes it as "partial contains small subunit ribosomal RNA, internal transcribed spacer 1, and 5.8S ribosomal RNA". The record is from RNAcentral.